This 1357-nucleotide ribosomal RNA is filed under the name metagenome. RNAcentral describes it as "bacterial LSU rRNA". It matches the Rfam family "Bacterial large subunit ribosomal RNA", at positions 1569 to 2925 of the family's 2925-position model. The record is from RNAcentral.
CUCUCCUGAACUUGUUCGGGCAGAGUGUCAAUGAUGUCAUACUUCCAAGAAAAGCUCGUACACCAUUAACCUUCAAAAAACCUGUACCUGAAACCGACACAGGUAGGUUGGUAGAGAAUACUAAGGGGCGCAAGAGAACUCUCUCUAAGGAACUCGGCAAAUUGGCCCCGUAACUUCGGGAGAAGGGGCGCCUUUGAUUUCAUCAAAGGCCACAGUAACAAGAUUCAGGCAACUGUUUACCAAAAACACAGGUCUCCGCAAAGUCGUAAGACAAUAUAUGGGGGCUGACGCCUGCCCAGUGCCGGAAGGUGAAGGAAGUUGGUUAUUUAGGCCUUGUGCCUAGAGAAGCUGACAACCGAAGCCCCGGUGAACGGCAGCUGUAACGAUGACAGUUCUAAGGUAGCGAAAUUCAUUGUCGAGUAAGUUUCGACCUGCACGAAAGGCGUAAUGAUCUGAAUACUGUCUCAGAGAGAGACUUGGUGAAAUAGACUUAUCCGUGAAGAUGCGGAUUAACAACAUUUGGACAGAAAGACCCUAUGAAGCUUGACUGUAUCCUGGAAUUGGGUUCGGGCUUUUCUUGCGCAGUCUAGGUGGGAGGCAUUGAAGGUUUCUUUCCGGAGAGAUUGGAGCCAUCAGUGAGAGACCACUCUGGAAAGGCUAGAAUCCUAAGAGUGAUCCCUAAUCGGGACAUUUGACGUUUUCAGGAAGGCAGUUUUUUUGGGGCGAAAGUCCUCCUAAAAGGUAACGGAGGCGCGCAAAGGUUUCCUCAGUCUGGACGGAAAUCAGACGUUACAGAGUGUAAAGGCAAAAGGAAGCUUGACUGCAAGACCUACAAGUCGAGCAGGGGCGAAAGCCGGCCUUAGUGAUCCGACGGUGUCCGUGUGGAAGGGCCGUCGCUCAACGGAUAAAAGUUACUCUAAGGAUAACAGGCUGAUCUUCUCCAAGAGUUCACAUCGACGAGAAGGUUUGGCACCUCGAUGUCGGCUCAUCACAUCCUGGGGCUGUAGUAGGUCCCAAGGGUUGGGCUGUUCGCCCAUUAAAGUGGUACGUGAGCUGGGUUCAAAACGUCGUAAGACAGUUUGGUCCAUAUCCGAUGUUGUCGUUAGAGCGCUGAGGGGAUCCUUAAAUAGUACGAGAGGAUUUUUAAGGUCGUGCCUAUGGUGUAUCAGUUCUCUCUCCAGAGGGAAACGCUGAGUAGCUACGCACGGUUUAGAUAACCGCUGAAAGCAUCUAAGUGGGAAGCUUUCCUCAAGAUGAGCGCUCUCCAUUAUGCCACAGCUAGACAAGCUGAUGAUAGGUAUCAGGUGAAAGGUCUGCAAGGAUUUGAGCCGAGAUAUACUAAAGGCCAAUUGAUUUU